This 1217-nucleotide long non-coding RNA is filed under the name Homo sapiens (human). Its description in RNAcentral is "HSALNT0008950". Lineage: Eukaryota; Metazoa; Chordata; Mammalia; Primates; Hominidae. The record is from RNAcentral.
CUUUGAGCCACUUAAUAUCAGUCUGACCUCUGAGGAGGAAAGGGAGACUAAAUAUUGAGUUCAACACCAUAGUCAGCAAUUCAACCAAUCAUGUCUAUGUUAUAAAAUCUCAUAAAACCUUGAAACUUCUAGUUGGGUUGAGCUUCCUGGUUGCUGAUACAUACUGAUAGUCUGGGAAGGUAACACAUCUUGCAGAGAUGGAUACUUUGAAUUUGGGACUCUGCCAGACUUCAUCCUAUGCCUCUCUUCAUUUGACUGCUCCUGACUUCUAUCCUUUGCAACAUGUAAUUCCACUGUGGGACCCAGGCUGAUGACCAGCUGCUUCACAGUACAUUGCUACUCAUCAGGACAGAGGGGAAAGAGACAUGUCAGCUCAUGAACUUCUGCCCCAAAGUGACACAUGUCUCUUCUACCUAUAUUUCAUCAGUCAAAGCAAGUCUUAAGGCCACUUCAAAGUUCAACAGGGCAUCAUCUUCUCACACCAAGAGGCACUACAUGGACAGGAACUGGAACUUUUGGUAACAAGUAAUAUAAUCUACCGUGCUAAUAAACUGUGUUUUAUCCAUGCCAUAUUUUGCCAUGACCCGUGAUCCCUCUUUCAGAAAUAUUGUGUUUAGAAACAUUCAAACACUUUCUAUUUAGAAAAAAAAAAUCCAUUAAGAUACCAAUAGAUUGAUCCCAACAGAAAGGUCAACAAUAUUUGAGUGGCAAUUUAAAGCUUUCAAAGCACUUUCAACUAAAUAUCUCAUUUGUUCUUUCAAAGUACUCUAUGAAUAUUUGAACUCUGAACUUUGAUCUUAAAUUUACCUGUUCUUUUUAUUAAUCCAUAUUGUACUUAUUUCCAAAUGAAAAAAAAUUACACGUGUAGGUAUUUUAUCUCCUUUUAGUCUUUCAUGAUUUGAAUUUGAUCAUACUAAACUGGGCUUACUAAAAAUUACUAUUAAAAUUUUUAUGGAUUUUUUAAUUCAUCUGUAUUUCCUUUGUGUUCUAUGUUAUAUCCUUUUAUUUUCACACCAUCUCCUGUGACAACUCUUGUUCUUGUUAAUAACCCAUUGUCAUUAGCAAAUCCUACAUAUUACCUUUCCUGCUGCUCUCUUAAUUUUCUUAAAGCAGGUCAUUGCUAUUUCAUAAUUAUUCUGCUUUCUUAAAUAAUUCUGAAUCUCAUUUCCCAAAGUCAUUCUCUUCAUAGACUUCAUAUAGGAAAUUUAGGUAGGUAU